CUCGUAGGCGGCCAACUAAGUCCGACGUGAAAUCCCCAGGCUUAACCUGGGAACUGCGUCGGAUACUGGAUGGCUUGAAUCCGGGAGAGGGAUGCGGAAUUCCAGGUGUAGCGGUGAAAUGCGUAGAUAUCUGGAGGAACACCGGUGGCGAAGGCGGCAUCCUGGACCGGCAUUGACGCUGAUGAGCGAAAGCCAGGGGAGCAAACGGGAUUAGAUACCCCGGUAGUCCUGGCCCUAAACGAUGAAUGCUUGGUGUGGCGGGUAUCGAUCCCUGCCGUGCCGAAGCUAACGCAUUAAGCAUUCCGCCUGGGGAGUACGGUCGCAAGGCUGAA
RNAcentral lists this ribosomal RNA (332 nucleotides) under uncultured Acidobacteriota bacterium. RNAcentral describes it as "bacterial SSU rRNA". It matches the Rfam family "Bacterial small subunit ribosomal RNA", at positions 568 to 898 of the family's 1533-position model. The record is from RNAcentral. Lineage: Bacteria; Pseudomonadati; Acidobacteriota.